Molecule: ribosomal RNA, 501 nt
Filed under: Staphylococcus aureus
Lineage: Bacteria; Bacillati; Bacillota; Bacilli; Caryophanales; Staphylococcaceae
Description: partial 23S ribosomal RNA
Rfam family: Bacterial large subunit ribosomal RNA
Source: RNAcentral
CAGACAAACUCCGAAUGCCAAUUAAUUUAACUUGGGAGUCAGAACAUGGGUGAUAAGGUCCGUGUUCGAAAGGGAAACAGCCCAGACCACCAGCUAAGGUCCCAAAAUAUAUGUUAAGUGGAAAAGGAUGUGGCGUUGCCCAGACAACUAGGAUGUUGGCUUAGAAGCAGCCAUCAUUUAAAGAGUGCGUAAUAGCUCACUAGUCGAGUGACACUGCGCCGAAAAUGUACCGGGGCUAAACAUAUUACCGAAGCUGUGGAUUGUCCUUUGGACAAUGGUAGGAGAGCGUUCUAAGGGCGUUGAAGCAUGAUCGUAAGGACAUGUGGAGCGCUUAGAAGUGAGAAUGCCGGUGUGAGUAGCGAAAGACGGGUGAGAAUCCCGUCCACCGAUUGACUAAGGUUUCCAGAGGAAGGCUCGUCCGCUCUGGGUUAGUCGGGUCCUAAGCUGAGGCCGACAGGCGUAGGCGAUGGAUAACAGGUUGAUAUUCCUGUACCACCUAUA